Non-coding RNA from Pangasianodon gigas (Mekong giant catfish), 72 nucleotides. Lineage: Eukaryota; Metazoa; Chordata; Actinopteri; Siluriformes; Pangasiidae. The record is from the annotation of a GenBank genome assembly.
CUAGUUCAACGGUUGUCCUUCCUUGGACCACUUUUGGUAGGUACUAACCACUGCAUACCGGGAACACCCCAC